UACGUAGGGGGCAAGCGUUGUCCGGAUUUAUUGGGCGUAAAGCGCUCGCAGGUGGUGCGUCACGUCGUGCGUGAAAGACCCCGGCUCAACUGGGGAGGGUCGUGCGAUACGGGCGGACUGGAGGCCAGUAGGGGGAUGCGGAAUUCCGGGUGUAGUGGUGGAAUGCGUAGAGAUCCGGAGGAACACCAGCGGCGAAGGCGGCAUCCUGGACUGGUCCUGACACUCAGGAGCGAAAGCGUGGGGAGCGAUCCGGAUUAGAAACCCUAGUAGUCC
Molecule: ribosomal RNA, 273 nt
Filed under: uncultured bacterium
Lineage: Bacteria
Description: partial 16S ribosomal RNA
Rfam family: Bacterial small subunit ribosomal RNA
Source: RNAcentral